Molecule: long non-coding RNA, 419 nt
Filed under: Malus domestica (apple)
Lineage: Eukaryota; Viridiplantae; Streptophyta; Magnoliopsida; Rosales; Rosaceae
Description: long non-coding RNA (MDOM_LNC015025)
Source: RNAcentral
AGAGCUUAAGCCAUGUCUGCAAAGCAGCGGGCGUCUUCUGCUUGUCACAGGGUUGGUCAGUUUGUUUAUGCAUUUAGCCCAGGCUUGUGAAUAAUUCAUUCAAUCUUCAUUGAAAAUAGAGGCUUUUAUUAACUUUGCUCGUAGGCAGUAAUGGCAUAACAACUAAUAAUUCUCGGCAUGCCAGGUCUUGUUCGUCAAGCUGCUUGAGUCUUCUAAAUUUUUUCAUCUUGAACGGGGUCCAAGGAAUAGUAGGAGGUCACACGUAGUACUUUCUUAGGUUGUAGACAUUCCACUGCUUGUCGAUUUCUUUGUCGCUCAUAGUGGUAAGGGUGUAGCUGCCCCUUCUGCCUACUCGGGUGAUUUUGUACAGACCUUCCCAGAUGGGAGCCAUCUUUUUGGAGCCUUCCCGUUAGGCGGUG